RNAcentral lists this ribosomal RNA (253 nucleotides) under uncultured bacterium. RNAcentral describes it as "partial 16S ribosomal RNA". It matches the Rfam family "Bacterial small subunit ribosomal RNA", at positions 524 to 776 of the family's 1533-position model. The record is from RNAcentral.
UACGGAGGAUUCGAGCGUUAUCCGGAUUUAUUGGGUUUAAAGGGAGCGUAGGCGGGUUGUUAAGUCAGUUGUGAAAGUUUGCGGCUCAACCGUAAAAUUGCAGUUGAUACUGGCAUCCUUGAGUACAGUAGAGGUAGGCGGAAUUCGUGGUGUAGCGGUGAAAUGCUUAGAUAUCACGAAGAACUCCGAUUGCGGAGGCAGCCUGCUGGACUGUAACUGACGCUGAUGCUCGAAAGUGUGGGUAUCAAACAGG